This 47-nucleotide transfer RNA is filed under the name Erisphex pottii (spotted velvetfish). Its description in RNAcentral is "partial tRNA-Val". The record is from RNAcentral. Lineage: Eukaryota; Metazoa; Chordata; Actinopteri; Perciformes; Aploactinidae.
GCAUCUCCCUUACACCGAGAAGUUAUCUGUGCAAAUCAGAUUACCCU